This 468-nucleotide ribosomal RNA is filed under the name uncultured bacterium. Its description in RNAcentral is "partial 16S ribosomal RNA". It matches the Rfam family "Bacterial small subunit ribosomal RNA", at positions 28 to 507 of the family's 1533-position model. The record is from RNAcentral.
GACGAACGCUGGCGGCGUGCUUAACACAUGCAAGUCGAACGGAAAGGCCCUGCUUUUGUGGGGUGCUCGAGUGGCGAACGGGUGAGUAACACGUGAGUAACCUGCCCUUGACUUUGGGAGAACAUCAGGAAACUGGGGCUAAUACAGGGUAGAAGCUCCUGCUGCGUGGGGGGGGUUGGAAAGUGUCGGCGGUUGGGGAUGGACUCGCGGCUUAUCAGCUUGUUGGUGGGGUAGUGGCUUACCAAGGCUUUGACGGGUAGCCGGCCUGAGAGGGUGACCGGCCACAUUGGGACUGAGAUACGGCCCAGACUCCUACGGGAGGCAGCAGUGGGGAAUAUUGCAGAAUGGGCGGAAGCCUGAUGCAGCAACGCCGCGUGCGGGAUGACGGCCUUCGGGUUGUAAACCGCUUUCGCCUGUGACGAAGCGUGAGUGACGGUAAUGGGUAAAGAAGCACCGGCUAACUACGUG